UACGUAGGGGGCAAGCGUUGUCCGGAAUCAUUGGGCGUAAAGAGCGUGUAGGCGGCCCGGUAAGUCCGCUGUGAAAGUCCAGGGCUCAACCCUGGGAUGCCGGUGGAUACUGUCGGGCUCGAGUCCGGAAGAGGAGUGUGGAAUUCCUGGUGUAGCGGUGAAAUGCGUAGAUAUCGUAAGGAAGACCAGUGGCGAAGGCGGGUCUCUGGACAGUUCCUGACGCUGAGGCACGAAGGCCAGGGGAGCAAACGGGG
This 254-nucleotide ribosomal RNA is filed under the name uncultured bacterium. RNAcentral describes it as "partial 16S ribosomal RNA". It matches the Rfam family "Bacterial small subunit ribosomal RNA", at positions 524 to 777 of the family's 1533-position model. The record is from RNAcentral.